Molecule: transfer-messenger RNA, 400 nt
Filed under: Bacteroidia bacterium
Lineage: Bacteria; Pseudomonadati; Bacteroidota; Bacteroidia
Rfam family: transfer-messenger RNA
About the family: Bacterial tmRNA, also known as 10Sa RNA or SsrA, is named for its dual tRNA and mRNA-like properties. Its role is to liberate the mRNA from a stalled ribosome. To accomplish this part of the tmRNA is used as a reading frame that ends in a translation stop signal.
Source: RNAcentral
GGGGUUGACUGGUUUUGACAGCGGGCAGAAGUGAUUUGUAAGCAUGCAGUGCGUCGUUGUUCGGCACUUAAAUCUCGGAUGAUACAAAUUUAACUGGCGAAAAUACUUACGCUAUGGCUGCCUAAUCGAAGUACAGUAGAUUAUUUGGCUUCAUCCCCACUCAAGGAGAGGGGACCAUACAUCACCCGGAAGCUCUGGCUUCGAAGCAAUCCGAAACGGUGGUGCGGCAAUAUCGGAGAUAGUCUGGGGAGCGUCCCGAGCCUCAGAUGAAAUAAAGGGACUAAGCUCGGCAUUGGUGGCUUCGGUCUUGUGCAGAGUCGAAUAAACAAAGCGAAGAUAAGCAUGUAGAAAGCAAGUUAAUUCCUCGUUUGGACGAGGGUUCGAAUCCCUCCAACUCCAC